CGCUGCUUGAAAGUAUAUUGAGAAACUGUUUCCCUGCCCUCCAGUCUCUCGCUAGCUCUCGUGGGGAGGUGGCACGGCUUAAGAAGACGGUGCAAAUAGUGCCCCCCCCACACACGGAGGUUCACCUGCCAGGUCGUGUUGGGGGAGCACCAUUUCCCCCUCAUGAGCGCUGGUUCGAGAACGGAGGCCAGGGAGGAGGCCAUUCAAGCAGCCAUGGCUGUUCUCCUGGGUGAGGAGGAGCUGCAGAGGAGAGAGGAGGAGAGGCUGUCCUCUCAGAUGGAGGUGAAAGAGGAGAGACUGUCCCCUCAGGUACACACAAACACACACUCACAAACAAACAUACACACUCAAUUCAAAUAGCACAAGCACACUCCCGCACACGCACACUCAAAAACACACUCGCACGCGCACGCACAUAUACACGCACACGCACAUA
This 436-nucleotide long non-coding RNA is filed under the name Sinocyclocheilus anshuiensis. RNAcentral describes it as "lncRNA (ENSSANG00000029790.1)". Lineage: Eukaryota; Metazoa; Chordata; Actinopteri; Cypriniformes; Cyprinidae. The record is from RNAcentral.